Molecule: ribosomal RNA, 508 nt
Filed under: uncultured Glomeromycotina
Lineage: Eukaryota; Fungi; Glomeromycota
Description: SSU rRNA
Rfam family: Eukaryotic small subunit ribosomal RNA
Source: RNAcentral
AGCAGCCGCGGUAAUUCCAGCUCCAAUAGCGUAUAUUAAAGUUGUUGCAGUUAAAAAGCUCGUAGUUGAAUUUCGGGAUCAGCAGGUUGGUCGUGCCUCUGGUAUGCACUGGUUUCGCUGAUUCCUCCUUUCUGAAGAACUGUAAUGUCAUUAAUUUGGUGUUGCAGGGAAACAGGACUGUUACUUUGAAAAAAUUAGAGUGUUUAAAGCAGGCUAACGCUUGAAUACAUUAGCAUGGAAUAAUGAGAUAGGACGUUUGAUCCUAUUUUGUUGGUUUCUAGGAUUGACGUAAUGAUUAAUAGGGAUAGUUGGGGGCAUUAGUAUUCAAUUGUCAGAGGUGAAAUUCUUGGAUUUAUUGAAGACUAACUACUGCGAAAGCAUUUGCCAAGGAUGUUUUCAUUAAUCAAGAACGAAAGUUAGGGGAUCGAAGACGAUCAGAUACCGUCGUAGUCUUAACCAUAAACUAUGCCGACUAGGGAUCGGAUGAUGUUAAUUUUUUAAUGACUCA